Molecule: ribosomal RNA, 119 nt
Filed under: Pteropus alecto (black flying fox)
Lineage: Eukaryota; Metazoa; Chordata; Mammalia; Chiroptera; Pteropodidae
Source: RNAcentral
GUCUAUGGCCAUACUGCCUUGAACAUGCUCGAUCCUGGCUGAUCGCAGAAGCUAAGCAGGGUCAGGUCUGGUUAGUACUUGGAUGGGAGACCACCUAGGAAGACCUGGUACUGAAGGCA